GCGGGGGUGGCAGAGCAUGGCCAAAUGCGCAGGCCCGAGGCGCCUGUGCCUUUAGAGGCUACGUGGGUUCAAAUCCCACCUCCCGCA
This 87-nucleotide transfer RNA is filed under the name Microcaldota archaeon. RNAcentral describes it as "tRNA-Leu". It matches the Rfam family "tRNA". Rfam says of the family: Transfer RNA (tRNA) molecules are approximately 80 nucleotides in length. The record is from RNAcentral. Lineage: Archaea; Nanobdellati; Microcaldota. RNAcentral also lists the same sequence under 3 other names.